GGUCCAUUAGCUCAGUUGGUAGAGCAAUUGACUCUUAAUCAAUGGGUCACAGGUUCGAGUCCUGUAUGGAUCACCA
This 76-nucleotide transfer RNA is filed under the name bacterium. RNAcentral's name for it is "tRNA-Lys". It matches the Rfam family "tRNA". Rfam says of the family: Transfer RNA (tRNA) molecules are approximately 80 nucleotides in length. Their secondary structure includes four short double-helical elements and three loops (D, anti-codon, and T loops). The record is from RNAcentral.